This 254-nucleotide ribosomal RNA is filed under the name uncultured bacterium. RNAcentral describes it as "partial 16S ribosomal RNA". It matches the Rfam family "Bacterial small subunit ribosomal RNA", at positions 524 to 776 of the family's 1533-position model. The record is from RNAcentral.
UACGUAGGGGGCGAGCGUUGUCCGAAGUUACUGGGCGUAAAGCGCGCGUAGGCGGGAGAUUAAGUGAGAGGUGAAAGGCUGGGGCUCAACCCCAUGCAGUGCCUCUCAUACUGGUCUUCUUGAGGGCGGUAGGGAGAAGUGGAAUUCCUGGUGUAGCGGUGAAAUGCGUAGAGAUCAGGAAGAACACCGGUGGCGAAGGCGCUCUGCUAGGCCGCAACUGACACUGAGGGACGAAAGCUAGGGGAGCGAAUGGG